RNAcentral lists this ribosomal RNA (500 nucleotides) under uncultured Glomeromycotina. RNAcentral's name for it is "partial small subunit ribosomal RNA". It matches the Rfam family "Eukaryotic small subunit ribosomal RNA", at positions 591 to 1092 of the family's 1831-position model. The record is from RNAcentral. Lineage: Eukaryota; Fungi; Glomeromycota.
CCAAUAGCGUAUACUAAAGUUGUUGCAGUUAAAAAGCUCGUAGUUGAAUUUCGGGAUCAGUACGCUGGUCGUGCCGUCGGUAUGCACUGGUUUCACUGAUUCCUCCCUUCUGAAGAACUGUCAUGCCAUUCAGUUGGUGUAGCGGGGAAUCAGGACUGUUACUUUGAUAAAUUUAGAGUGUUUAAAGCAGGCACGCGCUUGAAUCCAUUAGCAUGGAAUAAUGAAAUAGGACGUUUGAUCCUAUUUUGUUGGUUUCUAGGAUCGACGUAAUGAUUAAUAGGGAUAGUUGGGGGCAUUAGUAUUCAAUUGUCAGAGGUGAAAUUCUUGGAUUUAUUGAAGACUAACUACUGCGAAAGCAUUUGCCAAGGAUGUUUUCAUUAAUCAAGAACGAAAGUUAGGGGAUCGAAGACGAUCAGAUACCGUCGUAGUCUUAACCAUAAACUAUGCCGACUAGGGAUCGGAUGAUGUUAAUUUUUUAAUGACUCAUUCGGCGCCUUACG